Molecule: non-coding RNA, 74 nt
Organism: Podarcis lilfordi (Lilford's wall lizard)
Lineage: Eukaryota; Metazoa; Chordata; Lepidosauria; Squamata; Lacertidae
Source: the annotation of a GenBank genome assembly
CUCCCGGUAGCCCAAUGAGACAGUAUGUCUGGCUGCUAACCAGAAGGUUGGUAGUUCGAGUCCGCCCAGGGACA